GAUGAACGCUGGCGGCGUGCCUAAUACAUGCAAGUCGAGCGGACGGACGCGAAGCUUGCUGCGCUGAUGUUAGCCGCGGACGUGUGUGUAACACGUGUAUAACCUCCUUAUAUGACUGGUAUCACCUCGGGAAACCGGAGAUUAUAGCGGAUAAUAUUUUGAACCGCAUGGGUCAAAGGUGAGAGACGGUCUUGCUGUAACUACUAGAUGGUUCCGCGCUGCAUUAGCUAGUUGGUCAGUUCACGGCUUACCACGGCAACGAUGCAUAGCCGAACUGAGAGAGUGAUCGGCCACACGGGAACUGAGACACGGUCCAGACUCCUACGGGAGGCAGCAGUAGGGAAUCUUACGCAAUGGGCGAAAGCCUGACGCAGCAACGCCACGUGAGUGAUGAAGGUCUUCGGAUCGUAAAACUCUGUUAUUAGGGAAGAACAGAUGUGUAAGUAACUGUGCACAUCUUGACGGUACCUAAUCAGAAAGCAACGGCUAACUACGUG
Molecule: ribosomal RNA, 497 nt
Filed under: uncultured bacterium
Lineage: Bacteria
Description: partial 16S ribosomal RNA
Rfam family: Bacterial small subunit ribosomal RNA
Source: RNAcentral